GCUGUAGCUCAGUGGUAGAGCACCUGCUUUGCACCCAAAAGGUCUCAGGUUCCAUCCCCAGCAUCUCCA
Molecule: non-coding RNA, 69 nt
Organism: Podarcis lilfordi (Lilford's wall lizard)
Lineage: Eukaryota; Metazoa; Chordata; Lepidosauria; Squamata; Lacertidae
Source: the annotation of a GenBank genome assembly